This 1253-nucleotide ribosomal RNA is filed under the name Ptilonyssus toxostomae. RNAcentral's name for it is "eukaryotic LSU rRNA". It matches the Rfam family "Eukaryotic large subunit ribosomal RNA", at positions 127 to 1244 of the family's 3401-position model. Lineage: Eukaryota; Metazoa; Arthropoda; Arachnida; Mesostigmata; Rhinonyssidae. The record is from RNAcentral.
UUUUGUACAAUAAGAGAUGAGGCGUAAAGGUGCGGCGUGUUAAGCGGAGGUGCUUCCUAAUUAUUAUUGAGUGAGUGCUCAUAGAAGGUGAGAAGCCUGUAUGGUAGCACGUAUUUGUUUAACCGCAGCACUGAAGAGUCGAGUUGUUUGAGAGUACAACUUAAAGAUGGUGGUAAAUUUCAUCAAAGGCUAAAUAUAUGAAGGGACUAAUAGUGAACAAGUACCAUGAGGGAAAGUUGAAAAGAACUCUGAUGAGAGAGUUCAACAGUACGUGAAACCAUAUUGAGUAAAACAGAUAACUGUGUUGUUACGUUGUGCGCCUAUCAACGGUCGAUUCGGUGUUGCGCGACUAUGAGUGUAAGCUGUCUAUGCAGUUUGGUGCUCGUGGCCAGCAUAUCCAAUUGUUCUGUGCACUAGUGCGCACUCAUGCAUUGAGUGACUAUGCAGGUGAGGCAUCCGCGUGCAUUAGUAUGUAUAUUGUACACGAGUGUACGCUGGGCGUCAGGAAGCCAACAUAGUUUAGCUGUGUGACAGCUGUGGAUCGCGUUUAUCGAAGCGGCUCACUGUAAGUGCGAAAUGGUUAAUUCUUUUUUGCGGUGAGUGAGUCGCCAUACGUAAGCGGUUCGCCAUGAAUGCCAAACAUUAGUUAUCUGACCCGUCUUGAAACACGGACCAAGGAGUUCAAAUGGCACGCGAGUCACUGGGUGCAAGAACCCGAAGGCGAAGUGAAAUGCAAACGUAUUGUAAUUUGUGGUUGUUCCAUGAUGAAGCGAUAAGCUACUGAUGCCUUGUGGCAUUUGUAGACUAUAAGCGUGACGUUUGAGAYCCGAAAGAUGGUGACCUAUGCCUAGUCAAGAUGAASCCAGAGGAAACUCUGGUGGAUGUCUGAAGUUAUUCUGACGUGCAAAUCGAUAAUCUGAUCUGGGUAUAGGGGCGAAAGACUAAUCGAACCAUCUAGUAGCUGGUUCCUUCCGAAGUUUCCCUCAGGAUAGCAAGCAUAUGUUUUUAGUUUCAUCCCGUAAAGCGAAUGAUUAGAGGCAUUGGGGCGCAUAUAGCCUCAACCUAUUCUCAAACUUUUAAUGGGUGUGAGUGUUCUUUCUCAAUUGAAGAAUGCUGCUAAAUAAGUAUGCUUAGUGGGCCAUUUUUGGUAAGCAGAACUGGCGCUGUGGGUUGAACCAAUUGUUGAGUUAAAGUGCCAAAAGCUGGAAUGCGCAUGAGAUCUAUAAAGGGUGUUAGUUGCUGAAGACAGCAGG